RNAcentral lists this transfer RNA (73 nucleotides) under Microbacterium maritypicum. RNAcentral describes it as "tRNA-Thr". It matches the Rfam family "tRNA". From Rfam's summary of the family: Transfer RNA (tRNA) molecules are approximately 80 nucleotides in length. Their secondary structure includes four short double-helical elements and three loops (D, anti-codon, and T loops). Further hydrogen bonds mediate the characteristic L-shaped molecular structure. tRNAs have two regions of fundamental functional importance: the anti-codon, which is responsible for specific mRNA codon recognition, and the 3' end, to which the tRNAs corresponding amino acid is attached (by aminoacyl-tRNA synthetases). tRNAs cope with the degeneracy of the genetic code in two manners: having more than one tRNA (with a specific anti-codon) for a particular amino acid; and 'wobble' base-pairing, i.e. permitting non-standard base-pairing at the 3rd anti-codon position. Lineage: Bacteria; Bacillati; Actinomycetota; Actinomycetes; Micrococcales; Microbacteriaceae. The record is from RNAcentral. RNAcentral also lists the same sequence under 15 other names.
GCCGCCUUAGCUCAGUCGGCAGAGCAUCUCACUCGUAAUGAGAAGGUCGUCAGUUCGAUUCUGACAGGCGGCU